CAUAAAUCAUUUGCAUAGAUUCACAGGACACUUCUUUCUGUCUUUAAUUUCUCUUCUUUUUUUUUACCAGGGUUAUAUAAGUUUGCGGAACUUCACCCAGCAGUUCCGAAAUUUCUCCAUAUAAAUUGUCUAACCCUUAAAAAGGCUCAAACAUCAGGAUCAUUUAUUCUUCUAAUUUUUUUAACGUUAUACUUUUGACAAUUUAUAUGUAGAUGGCUUGGAAAGGUUACUCUUGAAACCUACAUUUCUCAGUUCCACAUCUGGUUGAGGUACUUCCUACUAUAUAAAGUUUCUUCGGAGUAUACCACAUGAUCCAGUGAUGACAGAUUCGAGUUCGACUACAAAAUUUUAGAAGUGUUUUUUUUAUUUUUUUAUUUUGUGGUGUACUACUUUUAUAUAUUAGCUUAACUUUUUAGUUAAUAUUUUAGAAAUGUUUUGUAUUGCACUUAAUUACUAAUUACUAAUGUAAUGAUAUUAAUAUUUAGUGAA
Humulus lupulus (European hop) is the source of this 489-nucleotide long non-coding RNA. RefSeq lists it as uncharacterized. The transcript has 2 exons. NCBI's taxonomy places the organism in Eukaryota, Viridiplantae, Streptophyta, Magnoliopsida, Rosales, Cannabaceae. The record is from RefSeq and is a predicted model, not a curated record.